RNAcentral lists this ribosomal RNA (497 nucleotides) under uncultured bacterium. RNAcentral describes it as "partial 16S ribosomal RNA". It matches the Rfam family "Bacterial small subunit ribosomal RNA", at positions 28 to 507 of the family's 1533-position model. The record is from RNAcentral.
GAUGAACGCUGGCGGCGUGCCUAAUACAUGCAAGUCGAGCGAACGGACGAGAAGCUUGCUUCUCAGAUGUUAGCGGGGGACGUGUGAGUAACACGUGGAUAACCUGCCUAUAUGCCUGGGAUAACUUCGGGACACCGGGACUAAUACCGUAUAAUAUUUUGAACUUCAUUGUUCAAUAGUGAAAGACGGUCUUGCGCACUCUUAUAGAUGCAUCGGCGCUGCUUUAUCUAGUUGGUAGUGUAAAGGCUUACCAAGGCAACGAUCCAUGGCCGACCUGAGAGGGUGAUGGGCCACCCUGGAACUGAGACCCGGUCCAGACUCCUACGGGGGGCAGCAGUAGGGAAUCUUCCGCAAUGGGGGAAAGCCUGACGGAGCAACGCCGGGUGAGUGAUGAAGGUCUUCGGAUCGUAAAACUCUGCGAUUAGGGAGGAACAGAUGUGGAAGUAACUGUGCACAUCUUGACGGUACCUAAUCAGAAAGCGACGGCUAACUACGUG